RNAcentral lists this non-coding RNA (21 nucleotides) under Caenorhabditis elegans. Lineage: Eukaryota; Metazoa; Nematoda; Chromadorea; Rhabditida; Rhabditidae. The record is from RNAcentral.
UUGGUUCUUCUUUUUAUUCAU